RNAcentral lists this ribosomal RNA (494 nucleotides) under uncultured bacterium. RNAcentral's name for it is "partial 16S ribosomal RNA". It matches the Rfam family "Bacterial small subunit ribosomal RNA", at positions 28 to 507 of the family's 1533-position model. The record is from RNAcentral.
GACGAACGCUGGCGGCGUGCUUAACACAUGCAAGUCGAACGGAAAGGCCUGCUUUCCCUUGUGGUAUGCGGGUACUCGAGUGGCGAACGGGUGAGUAACACGUGAGUGAUCUGCCCCCAACUUGGGUAUAAGCCUGGGAAACUGGGUCUAAUUCCCGAUAGGACUGCAGGGUGGUGCCUGUGGUGGAAAACGAUUUUCUAGUGGUUGGGGAUGAGCUCGCGGCCUAUCGGCUUGGUGGUGGGGUAAUGGCCUACCAAGGCGGCGACGGGCAGCCGGCCUGAGAGCGUGCACGGCCGCACUGGGACUGGGUCACGGCCCCUACUCCUACGGGCGGCAGCAGUUGUGAGUCUUACGCCAUGGGCGUAAGCCUGAUGUAGCGACGCCGCGUGGGAGAUGUCGGCCUUCGGGUUGUAAUCUGCUGUCGACCGCGAGGAAGCCACCUGGUUGGAAGGGUGGUGACGGUAGUGGUAGAAUAAGCACCGGCUAACUACGUG